Small nuclear RNA from Suncus etruscus (white-toothed pygmy shrew), 105 nucleotides. The record is from RefSeq and is a predicted model, not a curated record. NCBI's taxonomy places the organism in Eukaryota, Metazoa, Chordata, Mammalia, Eulipotyphla, Soricidae.
GUAUCUCGCUUCGACAGCACAUAUACUAAACUUGGAACUAUACAGAGAUUAAUACCUCCCCUACGCAAGGAUAACAUGCAAAUUCGUUAAGCAUUCCAUAUUUUU